UAAGACCUCGCGUUAUUGGAGCGGCCGAUAUCUGAUUAGCUAGUUGGUGGGGUAAGAGCCUACCAAGGCGACGAUCAGUAGCUGGUCUGAGAGGACGACCAGCCACACUGGGACUGAGACACGGCCCAGACUCCUACGGGAGGCAGCAGUGGGGAAUUUUGGACAAUGGGCGAAAGCCUGAUCCAGCCAUGCCGCGUGAGUGAAGAAGGCCUUCGGGUUGUAAAGCUCUUUCGCAAGGAAAGAAAUCCUAUCCACUAAUACUGGGUGGGGAUGACGGUACCUAGAUAAGAAGCACCGGCUAACUACGUGCCAGCAGCCGCGGUAAUACGUAGGGUGCGAGCGUUAAUCGGAAUUACUGGGCGUAAAGCGAGCGCAGGCGGUUUUGUAAGUCAGAUGUGAAAUCCCCGGGCUCAACCUGGGAACU
RNAcentral lists this ribosomal RNA (424 nucleotides) under uncultured bacterium. RNAcentral's name for it is "bacterial SSU rRNA". It matches the Rfam family "Bacterial small subunit ribosomal RNA", at positions 202 to 622 of the family's 1533-position model. The record is from RNAcentral.